This 1538-nucleotide long non-coding RNA is filed under the name Sus scrofa (pig). Its description in RNAcentral is "lncRNA (ENSSSCG00005014361.1)". Lineage: Eukaryota; Metazoa; Chordata; Mammalia; Artiodactyla; Suidae. The record is from RNAcentral.
CCUAGACCCCGCCCACUUCCGCCUCUCAGUGCGCGGACCUCUUAAGUGGUUGAGGGGUUUUGGCUGCCUUUCCCGAGGCCGUUGGCCGCGCAUGCGUAGUGCGCCGCUUCGAGGACCUGAGGCAGUGGUGAGCGCUCCUUCCCCUAGCAACUCCCAGCAUCGGCACCGCCACCUUGCUAAUGAAUCCUCAAAAUAACGUGAUCUUAAUCAUCUGAAGACGCGCAUCUCUCGCGCCCCAUCCCGAAACACCUUGGCCCAGCUCCAAAACCUUCCAGACGUUUCCCUCCCAGCCCCGCCUCCACAGACUCCUUUGGCUCAGAUAUCCCCUCCCGGAAACACACAUCGCGCCCCUGACGACCCCAACAGACCAUCAGGACCUCCCCCAAGCUUUCCAAGCCUGAGUGCCUCCUAGUUAGCCCUGUCUACCACAAGCUCUGGAAUCCGCGUACUUCCUGCGCCCUCCCACCAGGCCCCUCACGUGUUCUUCCAACCACGCCCCUCACCAGCCCCCGAAGCCCCACCCUUCACAAGGCCCGCAGCCACGCCCUUUACAGGUAUCCUUCCGGACCCCCCCCCCCCCAGCCCGGCCUCGCCUCAGAGGCCCUUCCAGCCCCGCCCAUCGUAGGCCUCUACGGCUCCGCCCCUCGCAAGGCCUCCAGCCCCGCCCCUCGUAAGGCCUAGAGCCCCGCCCCCUCAGCCCUCCAGUCCCGCCGCUUGCUGGGCUCCCCUAGCACAUCUGUUCACAGCACCCGAGCUCCCCGCAGGUCUCCUCGCGGCCUCCUAGCCCCUCCUCCCCAGCCGCCCCUCCCACGGCUUUCUUCUGUGGCCUUGGUCCCUCCCCGGCUGCUGUCCCCAGGCCUCAUUGGUCUCUUAUCUCCCCAGUAACCAGACCACAACACUGAGCUUGGAGUACCCAGGACAGGUCCAGCACUCCGGCAGUUUGUCCUGUUUCAGGUCCUGUGCAGCUGGGGCCCCGUGGAUGGGGAGGCUUUUCAGGACAGCCCUGUGGAGGCGGGGAGCAGAUAGUAGCCCAAGCCUGGGGAGUGGGAUGGCCAGGAAGACUUCCUGUAGGAGGAGACGUUUGAGUGGGGCCCAGAACUGCUCCCAGGAAUUUCCACCAGGAGAAGGAAGGGAAGAGUGAGCAGAAAGAACAGCAUGUGACCAAAGCAAGGUUCUUCCGCCUCCACACCGUUGACACCUGGGGUCAGAACGUUCUUUGCUAUGGGUGGGGGCGUCCUGGGCAUUGGAGGGUACUAGGUGCAUCCCUGCGCCCCCGCCCCCCCCCCCGCUGCACACCAGAAGCACCCGCAAUCCAUGCCUGCACAGUCAAAAAUGUCUCCAGACAUGGCCAAAUGUCCUUAGGGGGUAGAAUUGCUCCUGGUUGAGAACGGCUGGGAGAUGGGGAAAUGGUGGAGAGCCUGGAGCGGUGGGUAGGAUUGGGUUUGUGGGGCCUCGAACACCAGGCUGGGGAGCUGGGACUUUGUCCAGGGUGAGUCCUGGGUCUAGGGCUUCUGUGGCUGUGAGGAAAGGCCGGCAGG